UAUAUUUGGGAAUAUCACCAGACUCAAAGCAGGAAUGCAUUCAUGCAUAUAGGUAACAGCAUAUUUAGUGCGAAGAUCUUUCAAGCAAAUGGACGCAUUUUAUAUUAAGUGGAUUUAAUUUUACUUAUUUAGAAAGAUAUGUUUUGGCAACUGAGUUCAUUGAAGCUGGACUCUAUUUGAAAGCCUUAAACCAAGUUCGCUUUAUAUUUUAACCGCACCUGUGUGCUGACACCUGGCCACUAUAAUGAUUGUCGAGAAGAUCGCCAAAAAUCACUCAUGACGAAAAGAUGAAACUAUUACUGAGAAUGAAGAGUGACUCCGUCAAGUUUUAAUCGCUUUUUAAUCCGUAACUGUGUACGGACCAACCAAUCAUUUUCUGAGCAGAUUUCCGGGGAGAUCCUCCAUACCCUUUUUGCGGAAGCAGCAAGCACAGGGAAGGACCCCGACUGAAGCGAAUUUAGCCUUCACUUGAGUGUGGCACACACAGGUCAGAGGACUUACACCGCUGUUUUCGAACUUUUCAAAUAGUAUCACUAUCGUUACGAGAGGAGUGCAGGGAAAGAUUUUGCAAAGCUCUUGUACAGUUGGUCAAUUGGAAAGCAGAGAGACGUAACCGAUCUGGAAAGUUUAAUGAAAUUCCCAAUCUAGACCGUAAUCCUUGUUUCAUUCAACUGUGACCCUUGCCAGCCCUGGUUACUAGCCUGGCUACAAGCUGCCUGGAUCACUUGCUGAAAUUGCUGCGGUUUUGUGAGGAAGCGGGCGCCAACACGGAAAAGGUUUACCAUCUGAUCCCAUCUUCUUCUGGGUGAUUCAGCAACAGGCAUCCCAUUGUAACAACCACAG
Molecule: non-coding RNA, 843 nt
Organism: Chiloscyllium plagiosum (whitespotted bambooshark)
Lineage: Eukaryota; Metazoa; Chordata; Chondrichthyes; Orectolobiformes; Hemiscylliidae
Source: RefSeq, a predicted model, not a curated record